GGGGGCGGCAGGGAAGAGUUCCAGGAGGUGUCUGGACAAAGAUUUGAUGGAUGUGCAAGAAUUGGGCUGAUGCUUAGGAGGGGCGAUGAGGUGGGUCCAGAAGAAGGGGGGUGAACGGUGUGAGCAAAGACCGUGAGGCUGGAGGCUGGCCACGGGAGGUGUGAGGGGUAGGGGCAGGGUGGGAGGUGGGCUCGCGGGUGGGCUGGGGUCAUGAAGGGCCUCAGGCGCUCUGCUAUUGGGUUCCAAGGCUAUCCUGAGAACAGGGGUGAGGGGGGAUUGCCGUGGGGGGUUAAAGCCUUGUCAUGUUCGCUUUCGGGAGGUAAAAACAACAGGUGGCCUUUAUGGAGACGCUGCCCAGAGCCAGGUCUGUGCCAGGCUCCUGUUGGGGGUCGUCAUGCGGAAUCCUGACUCUGACCAUCCGAGGCAUAGGGACCGUGGAGAUUUGCAUUUCACAGAUGAGGAAACAGGUUUGGAGAGGUGACACGACGUGUCCCAGGCAUCACAGCCAGGACAGGAUCUGUCCAGCAUCACAGCCGGGAUGUGCAUAGCAGGGGUUUGGAACUACGAGGUGCCCAGGACCCAGGGUUGGAUUGAAAAGGGCGCAGGGGACUAAGAUAAGCAGACAGUUGUCCCCAGCGCUGGGGAGAGUCUUGGGACCAGUCUGAUGCCUUGUAUUUCCCAGGCUCCAGGCUCCUCGCCGGGACAGUGUCUCCUUGGGUGCGUGCUGGAUCCCUGGGGGACGUGGCACAUCCCCAGGCUUGCUAAACAUUGGGCUCUGGUCCUGGGGUUUGGAGGAGGGGGACCCUGGGAGUUGGUGGCCUGUCCCAGCCUGAGCUGGCAAGAUUCCGAAUGCCAGGCCCCUCAAGUGUGCAACAGGGCACAGGGUGACCUCAUGUGGGCAGGUGGGUGCUGUUCUGUACACACCUGGGGCCGCCGCUGGGAGAGUUCUGGAAGGUGGGGUGAGGGGACCCAUGGGAAGCUAGGGCCUUAG
This 991-nucleotide long non-coding RNA is filed under the name Pan troglodytes (chimpanzee). Its description in RNAcentral is "lncRNA (ENSPTRG00000052993.1)". The record is from RNAcentral. Lineage: Eukaryota; Metazoa; Chordata; Mammalia; Primates; Hominidae.